CUACGGGACGCUGCAGUUAGGAAUAUUCUACAAUGCGCGCAAGCGUGAUAGAUUGAGCCAGAGUGUUUUUCAAAUGAAAAGCUUUUGUGAAAUGUAAAAAGUUUCACGAAUAAGGACUGGGUAAGACUAGUGCCAGCCGCCGCGGUAAUACUAGCGGUCCAAGUCGCAGCCAUUUUUAUUGGGUCUAAAACAUCCGUAGCUUGCUUAAUAAGUUCCUUGUGAAAUUUUAUCUCUCAAAGAUAGAGCGUGCAAGAAAUACUGUUAAGCUAGAGACUGGAAGACGUAACGAGUACGUUCGGAGUAGCGGUAAAAUGUGUUAAUCCUGGACGGACUAACAAUAGUGAAGGCACGUUACGAGGACAGUUCUGACAGUAAGGGAUGAAGGCUAGGGGCGCAAAACGGAUUAGAUACCCUCGUAGUC
Molecule: ribosomal RNA, 421 nt
Filed under: uncultured archaeon
Lineage: Archaea
Description: partial 16S ribosomal RNA
Rfam family: Archaeal small subunit ribosomal RNA
Source: RNAcentral